This 253-nucleotide ribosomal RNA is filed under the name uncultured bacterium. RNAcentral describes it as "partial 16S ribosomal RNA". It matches the Rfam family "Bacterial small subunit ribosomal RNA", at positions 524 to 776 of the family's 1533-position model. The record is from RNAcentral.
UACGGGGGGGGCAAGCGUUGUUCGGAAUUACUGGGCGGAAAGGGCUCGUAGGUGGCCAACUAAGUCGGACGUGAAAUCCCUCAGCUUAACUGGGGAACUGCGUCCGAUACUGGAUGGCUCGAGUUUGGGAGAGGGAUGCGGAAUUCCAGGUGUAGCGGUGAAAUGCGUAGAUAUCUGGAGGAACACCGGUGGCGAAGGCGGCAUCCUGGACCAACACUGACACUGAGGAGCGAAAGCCAGGGGAGCAAACGGG